RNAcentral lists this ribosomal RNA (446 nucleotides) under uncultured bacterium. Its description in RNAcentral is "partial 16S ribosomal RNA". It matches the Rfam family "Bacterial small subunit ribosomal RNA", at positions 338 to 795 of the family's 1533-position model. The record is from RNAcentral.
CCUACGGGUGGCAGCAGUCGAGGAUCAUUCACAAUGGGGGAAACCCUGAUGGUGCGACGCCGCGUGGGGGAAUGACUGUCUUCGGAUUUUAAACCCCUGUCAUGUGGGAGCAAAUUAUAAAGAUACUACCACAAGAGGAAGAGGCUGCUAACGCUGUGCCAGCAGCCGCGGUACUACAGAGGUCUCAAGCGUUGUUCGGAAUCACUGGUAGUAAAGCGUGCGUAGGCUGUUUCGUAAGUCGUGUGUGAAAGGCGCGGGCUCAACCCGCGGACGGCACAUGAUACUGCGAGACUAGAGUAAUGGAGGGGGAACCGGAAUUCUCGGUGUAGCAGUGAAAUGCGUAGAUAGCGAGAGGAACACUCGUGGCGAAGGCGGGUUCCUGGACAUUAACUGACGCUGAGGCACGAAGGCCAGGGGAGCGAAAGGGAUUAGAUACCCCAGUAGUC